GACGAACGCUGGCGGCGUGCUUAACACAUGCAAGUCGAACGAAAAGACGGAAAGAGCUUGCUCUUUUCAGAAUUGAGUGGCAAACGGGUGAGUAACACGUAAACAACCUGCCUUCAGGAUGGGGACAACAGACGGAAACGACUGCUAAUACCGAAUAAGUUCCAAGGGCCGCAUGGCCCAUGGAAGAAAAGGUGGCCUCUACCUGUAAGCUAUCGCCUGAAGAGGGGUUUGCGUCUGAUUAGCUGGUUGGAGGGGUAACGGCCCACCAAGGCGACGAUCAGUAGCCGGUCUGAGAGGAUGAACGGCCACACUGGAACUGAGACACGGUCCAGACUCCUACGGGAGGCAGCAGUGGGGAAUCUUCCGCAAUGGGCGAAAGCCUGACGGAGCAACGCCGCGUGAGUGAUGACGGCCUUCGGGUUGUAAAACUCUGUGAUCCGGGACGAAAAGGCAGAGUGCGAAGAACAAACUGCAUUGACGGUAC
This 484-nucleotide ribosomal RNA is filed under the name uncultured bacterium. RNAcentral describes it as "bacterial SSU rRNA". It matches the Rfam family "Bacterial small subunit ribosomal RNA", at positions 28 to 478 of the family's 1533-position model. The record is from RNAcentral.